RNAcentral lists this unclassified non-coding RNA (347 nucleotides) under soil metagenome. RNAcentral's name for it is "partial contains 5.8S ribosomal RNA, internal transcribed spacer 2, and large subunit ribosomal RNA". The stretch from base 1 to 120 matches the Rfam family "5.8S ribosomal RNA", at positions 35 to 154 of the family's 154-position model. The record is from RNAcentral.
GAUGAAGAACGCAGCGAAAUGCGAUACGUAAUGUGAAUUGCAGAAUUCAGUGAAUCAUCGAGUCUUUGAACGCACAUUGCGCCCCCUGGUAUUCCGGGGGGCAUGCCUGUCCGAGCGUCAUUGCCGCCCUCAAGCACGGCUUGUGUGUUGGGCCCCCGCCCCCCGGCUUCGGGGGGCGGGCCCGAAAGGCAGCGGCGGCACCGCGUCCGGUCCUCGAGCGUAUGGGGCUUCGUCACCCGCUCUGUAGGCCCGGCCGGCGCCCGCCGGCGACCCCAAUCAAUCUUUCCAGGUUGACCUCGGAUCAGGUAGGGAUACCCGCUGAACCUAAGCAUAUCAAUAAGCGGAGA